Molecule: RNA transcript, 1067 nt
Organism: Gossypium arboreum
Lineage: Eukaryota; Viridiplantae; Streptophyta; Magnoliopsida; Malvales; Malvaceae
Exons: 6
Source: RefSeq, a predicted model, not a curated record
UCACGCCUUUUAUCCCUAAAAUUUCCCCUCGUUGAACCCUUAAUUUUUCCCCCCUAAAAUCAUUUUUUUCCCUUCAUCUUAACCCAUUUCAAAUUUCCUUCCUUCAUUGAUUUUUAUGUCUUUUUUUUUUAAAUCUCUAUCUCUCUGCAACAUAUAUCAGUUAAAGCUUCAACCUUUCUACCCAAAUACAAGAUUUUGAUUUUAAAAAAGCGUCAGUCUUCUUUUGUGUAUAAAUCACGAGAUUUGUUUGGUUUCUAAGAAAAUAUUUUAUUCGUGUUUGAUUUAAAGAGUUACCCACUUGAUACACAAUCGUUGAGGCUCUAUAAAGUCUUAAUUCCACCUCUUCGUUUCAUUUUCCCGAGAAAAUGUUGGACUUGACGGAAAAUCCCAAGUUGAAAUCAAGGUUUGACUUUUGAGGGGAUUAUCGUCUACCUUUCUUCUUUUUUUGCUAUUAAUCGUAGUAACUCUUGGGGUGGUAUACUUUGAGGAUUGACAAGGAUUCUUCGAUAUUUCCUUUGGACAGAUCCUUCAAAGGCAGAGAGAGGAGCUGAGGCAACCAACUAAGAGUUAGAUAUCCUGAAUGCAUGCAUGGAUCCGAGUAUUAAACAGCACUUAACAGAAGCAGUUGGUAAAUAAUUGAAUAACUUUGUUUCAGUCUGACGGAAAAUCUCAAGUUGGUUAAAAUAGUGAAAUGCACUGUGAAUGACAUACCGAUGGACAUCUCUUUCAAUCAAACGGCUGGUCUAUCUGCACUUUGCUUUCUGGAGAAGGUUGACCAGCUAAUUGGAAAAGAUCAUCUUUUCAAACGCAGUAUUAUUUUGAUCAAGGCCUGGUGCUAUUACGAGAGCCGGAUCUUUGGUGCACACCAUGGCUUGAUUUCUGCAUAUGCAUUAGAAACAAUGAUUUUAUAUAUCAUUAAUGUCUUUCAUUCAUUCUUAUUUUGUUCUAUUUGUAUUUUAUUAGAUUUCUGGUGUAGUAUGAUAAGUGCGGUAUUUUGUUUGGCGGGAUGUAUUUAUAUCAUAGAUUAUUCUUCUUCUCAAUAUUUUGAUAAUAAAUUUUAAUUUUUU